Rhizophagus irregularis is the source of this 81-nucleotide non-coding RNA. Lineage: Eukaryota; Fungi; Glomeromycota; Glomeromycetes; Glomerales; Glomeraceae. The record is from Rfam.
GGUUUUGUGAGGAAACUGGUAGCCCUGCUGAAUUUAAAAUUCAGUGCUUAGUGCAUGCGGGUUCGAAUCCCGCCAAAACCA